RNAcentral lists this long non-coding RNA (921 nucleotides) under Oncorhynchus mykiss (rainbow trout). RNAcentral's name for it is "lncRNA (ENSOMYG00000064742.1)". The record is from RNAcentral. Lineage: Eukaryota; Metazoa; Chordata; Actinopteri; Salmoniformes; Salmonidae.
AUGCCACUUCUUUUUCUUCUGCUCUGUUUGUUUGUUAAACCAGCUUUUCUCCAGGAGAGCCAACGGGCCAAAUUGAUCCUCCAGAUUGGAGCGCCGGUCAUGCCUGCUGGUCAGACCGUCAAAAUGUUUUGUAUGGUAUCAUUUGUUGUGAACAAAUACACCUGGUACCAUCUGAACCAGACCACAUGCACAGCUAUGAACAUUAACAGCAACUUUCUGACUCUAAUUGUCACCACUAAGGACUCUGGAGAAUACAAGUGUUCAGGUUAUUACAAUGGAACAAGGUACGACAGCAAUGCAGUAAACCUGACUGUGGUAGAGAGACUCUCCAAUGUGUGGGUGUCAUCCACACCCAAGGACUUGGUCACCAUGGAGGGGCAGAGUGUCACCCUGUACUGUCAGGCCACCUCCCACCCACUCUCUGUCAUCUGGAGUUGGUGCAGGUUGGACGAGCAGGGUGGGUGGCAGGAGGUGGACAUGGGGCGAGAGCUGACCCUGAGCAUGGCAAGUGAGAGUGGGCAGUACAUUUGCCAUGCUUACAGCAACAUCUCUUCCCCGACGCAGCAGCAACAAAGCCCCUCCCACACAGUCUAUAUCGUCUACUUCCCCAUGACUGGCAGUGUGUAUGCAGGAGUGGCAGGGUUGGUGCUGGUUCUCCUUGCCGGGGUCUUACUGACCUUGUUGCUGCUGUGGCUCUGGAAGCAGCGGGCCAAAGAGAUGGCCGGUCAAGAGACCUUGGCCACCAAUAGUGCACCGGCCAAAGGAUAUACUGGACCUGCAAAAGCACCAAAGGGGAAGAGUCAGGGCCAGGCUGGGAAUGAGGGAGAAGUCUACAUGAACUGUGGUGAAACCAACCAAGCCUACAGCGACCUGUACCCCACCUACAUCACAGGGGAUGAUACCUACGCCACCUUGGGAUGA